This 433-nucleotide ribosomal RNA is filed under the name uncultured bacterium. RNAcentral's name for it is "partial 16S ribosomal RNA". It matches the Rfam family "Bacterial small subunit ribosomal RNA", at positions 29 to 507 of the family's 1533-position model. The record is from RNAcentral.
AACGAACGCUGGCGGCAGGCCUAACACAUGCAAGUCGAGCGAGGACUUCGGUUCUGUCUGCUGACGGGUGUGUCACGCGUGGGAAUGUUCCCUUCUCUACGGAAUACCCCUUUGAAACUGGGAGUAAUGCCGGAUACGCCCUUUUAGGGAAAGAUUUAUCGUACCAGGAUCAGCCCGCGUUGGCUUAGGUUGUUGGUGUUGUAAUGGCCUACCAAGCCGACGAUCCAUAGCUGGUUUGAGAGGAAGAUCAGCCACACUCGGAGUGAGGCACGGCCCAGAAUCCUACGGGAGGGGGCAAUGGCGAAUCUUAGCAAAGCGGGGGAAUCCUGAACGAACUAUGGCUCGUAAGUGAUGAUGGCGGGAGAGUAGUAAAGCUCUUUCAGAUGGGAAGAUAAUGACGGUACCCGAAGAAGAAGCCCCGGCUAACUCCGUG